GCUAAUACCGCAUAGGACUUUUUUUCGCCUGAAAGGAAGUUAAAAGACGCUUUUUGCGUCACUGCUGGAGGGACCCGCGGUGCAUUAGCCAGUUGGUGAGGUAACGGCUCACCAAAGCAACGAUGCAUAGCCGACCUGAGAGGGUGAUCGGCCACACUGGGACUGAGACACGGCCCAGACUCCUACGGGAGGCAGCAGUAGGGAAUCUUCGGCAAUGGACGCAAGUCUGACCGAGCAACGCCGCGUGAGUGAAGAAGGUUUUCGGAUCGUAAAGCUCUGUUGUCAGCCAAGAACAGGAAAAAGAGGCAAUGCUUUUUCUUUGACGGUAGCUGACCAGAAAGCCACGGCUAACUACGUGCCAGCAGCCGCGGUAAUACGUAGGUGGCAAGCGUUGUCCGGAUUUAUUGGGCGUAAAGGGAGCGCAGGCGGUUCGUUAAGUCUGAUGUGAAAGCCCUCGGCUCAACCGAGGAGGGUCAUUGGAAACUGGCGAACUUGAGUGCAGAAGAGGAGAGUGGAAUUCCAUGUGUAGCGGUGAAAUGCGUAGAUAUAUGGAGGAACACCGGUGGCGAAGGCGACUCUCUGGUCUGUAACUGACGCUGAGGCUCGAAAGCGUGGGUAGCAAACAGGAUUAGAUACCCUGGUAGUCCACGCCGUAAACGAUGAGUGCUAAGUGUUGGAGGGUUUCCGCCCUUCAGUGCUGCAGUUAACGCAUUAAGCACUCCGCCUGGGGAGUACGACCGCAAGGUUGAAACUCAAAGGAAUUGACGGGGGCCCGCACAAGCGGUGGAGCAUGUGGUUUAAUUCGAAGCAACGCGAAGAACCUUACCAGGUCUUGACAUCCUUUGUCCGCCCUAGAGAUAGGGCUUCCCCUUCGGGGGCAAAGUGACAGGUGGUGCAUGGUUGUCGUCAGCUCGUGUCGUGAGAUGUUGGGUUAAGUCCCGUAACGAGCGCAACCCUUAUGGCUAGUUGCCAGCAUUUAGUUGGGCACUCUAGUCAGACUGCCGGUGACAAACCGGAGGAAGGUGGGGAUGACGUCAAAUCAUCAUGCCCCUUAUGACCUGGGCUACACACGUGCUACAAUGGGAAGUACAACGAGCGCGCCAAGCCGCAAGGCCGAGCGAAUCUCUGAAAGCUUCUCUCAGUUCGGAUUGCAGGCUGCAACUCGCCUGCAUGAAGCCGGAAUCGCUAGUAA
This 1192-nucleotide ribosomal RNA is filed under the name Tetragenococcus osmophilus. Its description in RNAcentral is "bacterial SSU rRNA". It matches the Rfam family "Bacterial small subunit ribosomal RNA", at positions 162 to 1341 of the family's 1533-position model. Lineage: Bacteria; Bacillati; Bacillota; Bacilli; Lactobacillales; Enterococcaceae. The record is from RNAcentral.